AAUGUCAUAAGCCAGUGAGAUCCUUUCAGAUGGAUUAGAUCUCCAUUUUACACAUGAGAAAGUCCAGGCUGAGAGAGACAAGGAUACAAUGAGAAGUUGGCAGCUGCAACAUGGAACGGGGCCUUCAUUGGAACCAGACCACCCUGGCAAACCUGGUCGUGAACUUCCAGCCAUCAGAGCAGUGAGAAAUAAAUGUCUAUUGUUUAUAAGCCACCCAGACUUUGGUAUUUUGCUAUAGUAGCCUCCAAGGAUUGAAACUGUUGCUCUGCUUAAACAACUAUUUUAGGUGUCAGGAAUGAGCUGCCAGGAACCAGCCUCUGAAUAAGAAAUGUGUGAAAAUUUUCUAGAGACAGAUUAAGACCCUAAACUGUUGAUACCAAGAGACGGGGACAACUUGGAACCUCACUGACCUCUCCUCCCCAUGUUGGCAGAUUUGGCAAAUAAAAGCACAGGACACUCAAUUAAAUCUGAAUUUCAGCCCUGUGCAUUUGGAGUUGAGAAGAUUGAGAAACAAGGCCGGGCAUGGUGGCUCAUACCUGAAAUCCCAGCACUUUGGGAGGCUAAGGCGGGCAGAUCACUUGAG
This is a long non-coding RNA of Cercocebus atys (sooty mangabey), 583 nucleotides long. RefSeq lists it as uncharacterized. The transcript has 3 exons. The record is from RefSeq and is a predicted model, not a curated record. NCBI's taxonomy places the organism in Eukaryota, Metazoa, Chordata, Mammalia, Primates, Cercopithecidae.